This 393-nucleotide unclassified non-coding RNA is filed under the name Hevea brasiliensis (rubber tree). Lineage: Eukaryota; Viridiplantae; Streptophyta; Magnoliopsida; Malpighiales; Euphorbiaceae. The record is from RNAcentral.
AGUUGAUUCACCUCCAGUUGUAGCACCUUCAGCUGACAACAGUUCCACACCUAGCUCCGGUAUAGAGAAUUCCGACACCACAAUAAGAACCAGUGAACUGGUAGAUAGUGAAAGCAUCAAAACUCCAGAUGAGGUAGCAGCGAACUCAAACGAAAAUCAUGCUUUCGGUCAGUCUUCAAGUUUUAAAAAGUCUGAGGUAGACCAAUGAGGUGAAGUUUGAAUAUGUUAUAACAAGAUGUUUUUCCCAGUUUCCCCCAUUGUAUAGUCUCUGAAUGUAUAUGUUGUUAUGCCCUUCCUGUAACAACUUCAUGUUGGCGAAAAUCUAAUGUACCAUAGAUAGUUUUUGUUGUGGUUUCAAGCUUUGUAUCAUGAAAAUUUUAGAAAAAUCAAGAG